UACAGAGGGGGCAAGCGUUGUUCGGAAUUACUGGGCGUAAAGGGCGCGUAGGCGGCCUGUUAAGUCGAACGUGAAAUCCCCGGGCUCAACCCGGGAACUGCGUCCGAUACUGGCAGGCUUGAAUUCGGGAGAGGGAUGUGGAAUUCCAGGUGUAGCGGUGAAAUGCGUAGAUAUCUGGAGGAACACCGGUGGCGAAGGCGGCAUCCUGGACUACUACUGACGCUGAGGAGCGAAAGCCAGGGGAGCAAACGGG
This 253-nucleotide ribosomal RNA is filed under the name uncultured bacterium. RNAcentral's name for it is "partial 16S ribosomal RNA". It matches the Rfam family "Bacterial small subunit ribosomal RNA", at positions 524 to 776 of the family's 1533-position model. The record is from RNAcentral.